Molecule: ribosomal RNA, 254 nt
Filed under: uncultured bacterium
Lineage: Bacteria
Description: partial 16S ribosomal RNA
Rfam family: Bacterial small subunit ribosomal RNA
Source: RNAcentral
UACGAAGGGGGCUAGCGUUGCUCGGAAUCACUGGGCGUAAAGGGUGCGUAGGCGGGUCUUUAAGUCAGGGGUGAAAUCCUGGAGCUCAACUCCAGAACUGCCUUUGAUACUGAAGAUCUUGAGUUCGGGAGAGGUGAGUGGAACUGCGAGUGUAGAGGUGAAAUUCGUAGAUAUUCGCAAGAACACCAGUGGCGAAGGCGGCUCACUGGCCCGAUACUGACGCUGAGGCACGAAAGCGUGGGGAGCAAACAGGG